This 497-nucleotide ribosomal RNA is filed under the name uncultured bacterium. RNAcentral describes it as "partial 16S ribosomal RNA". It matches the Rfam family "Bacterial small subunit ribosomal RNA", at positions 28 to 507 of the family's 1533-position model. The record is from RNAcentral.
GAUGAACGCUGGCGGCGUGCUUAAUACAUGCAAGUCGAGCGAACAGAUGAGGAUGUUGCUCCUCUCACGGUAGCGGGGGACGGGAGAGUAACACGAGGAUAACCUACCUAUAAGACUGGCAGACGUAAGGGAAACAGGAGCUCAGACCAGGUAAGACGUUCAACCGCAUGGUCCAAUGGAGAGAGACGGUGUUGGUGACCCUUAUAUACGAUUCCGUGCCGGAUUGGGUAGUGGGUAAGGUAACGGCUUACCAAGGCAAGGAUGCGUAGCCGCCCUGAGCGGGAGAUCGGCCACACUGGAACGGGGACACGGUCCAGACGCCAACGGGAGGCAGCAGUAGGGAAUCUUGCGCGAUGGGCGGAAGCAUGACGGAGAAACGCCGCGUGAGUGAUGAAGGUCUUCGGAUCGUAAGACUCUGUUAUUAGGGAAGAACAGAUGUGUAAGUAACUAUGCACGUCUUGACGGUACCUGAUGAGAAAGCCACGGCUAACUACGUG